UACGUAGGGUGCAAGCGUUAAUCGGAAUUACUGGGCGUAAAGCGUGCGCAGGCGGGCUGGAAAGUUGGGGGUGAAAUCCCGGGGCUCAACCCCGGAAUGGCCUUCAAAACUCCCAGCCUAGAGUUCGAGAGAGGUGAGUGGAAUUCCGAGUGUAGAGGUGAAAUUCGUAGAUAUUCGGAGGAACACCAGUGGCGAAGGCGGCUCACUGGCUCGACACUGACGCUGAGGUGCGAAAGCGUGGGGAGCAAACAGG
This 253-nucleotide ribosomal RNA is filed under the name uncultured bacterium. RNAcentral describes it as "partial 16S ribosomal RNA". It matches the Rfam family "Bacterial small subunit ribosomal RNA", at positions 524 to 776 of the family's 1533-position model. The record is from RNAcentral.